AUACGGGGGGUGCAAGCGUUAAUCGGAAUUACUGGGCGUAAAGCGCGUGUAGGCGGUUAAAUAAGUUGGAUGUGAAAUCCCCGGGCUCAACCUGGGAACUGCAUUCAAAACUGUUUAACUAGAGUAUGGUAGAGGGAAGUGGAAUUCCAGGUGUAGCGGUGAAAUGCGUAGAUAUCUGGAGGAACAUCAGUGGCGAAGGCGACUUCCUGGAUCAAUACUGACGCUGAGGUGCGAAAGCGGGGGGAGCAAACAGGAUUAGAUACCCCGGUAGUCC
RNAcentral lists this ribosomal RNA (274 nucleotides) under uncultured bacterium. RNAcentral describes it as "partial 16S ribosomal RNA". It matches the Rfam family "Bacterial small subunit ribosomal RNA", at positions 523 to 796 of the family's 1533-position model. The record is from RNAcentral.